GUGUCAGCAGCCGCGGUAAUACGGAGGGGGCUAGCGUUGUUCGGAAUUACUGGGCGUAAAGCGCACGUAGGCGGCUUUGUAAGUUAGAGGUGAAAGCCUGGAGCUCAACUCCAGAAUUGCCUUUAAGACUGCAUCGCUUGAAUCCGAGAGAGGUGAGUGGAAUUCCGAGUGUAGAGGUGAAAUUCGUAGAUAUUCGGAAGAACACCAGUGGCGAAGGCGGCUCACUGGCUCGGUAUUGACGCUGAGGUGCGAAAGCGUGGGGAGCAAACAGGAUUAGAAACCCUUGUAGUCC
Molecule: ribosomal RNA, 292 nt
Filed under: uncultured bacterium
Lineage: Bacteria
Description: partial 16S ribosomal RNA
Rfam family: Bacterial small subunit ribosomal RNA
Source: RNAcentral